GGAUUAACUUGUCCAGUUGUACCAUAAACUUCAUGUUGAUAUCUUCUUCCCCCAGGGAUUGAAUUACAGCACUGGCAUGAUGGUAUGCCUGAGCUAGCAGACACAAACUAAUUGUUGCCAUCGGUGAAUGACACCAAGAAGAAUACAGAGAUAUGAACAAGUCUUUCCCAGCAGGAUUUACUAGUGAUUGCUUUAGGACAGAUCGUAAUCCAGCCAGUUCAGCCGCAGUGAGUAAAAUCAAAUUCAGAGCCUGAACCAUAAUCGAAGCAAAGUCCAAGUCAUC
This 283-nucleotide unclassified non-coding RNA is filed under the name Hevea brasiliensis (rubber tree). Lineage: Eukaryota; Viridiplantae; Streptophyta; Magnoliopsida; Malpighiales; Euphorbiaceae. The record is from RNAcentral.